This is a long non-coding RNA of Sceloporus undulatus (fence lizard), 203 nucleotides long. RefSeq lists it as uncharacterized. NCBI's taxonomy places the organism in Eukaryota, Metazoa, Chordata, Lepidosauria, Squamata, Phrynosomatidae. The transcript is spliced from 3 exons. The record is from RefSeq and is a predicted model, not a curated record.
ACAAUCACCACCACCACUACAACAAAGCUACACACUUCUAUAGUUACAGGUAGACUCUUGAUUAUUAACAGCUAAAAAAACAAAAAAGGUUAAAAUACAGAUCUUUCAUGUCAGGAAUAUGAUGUUAUGCCUAUUGAAUUUGAACAUCUAGUCUGGCAUUAGAAACAGGAACAGGCUCAAGCAUUUUGCUGCCUGAGGCAAAG